UACGAAGGGGGCUAGCGUUGCUCGGAAUCACUGGGCGUAAAGCGCACGUAGGCGGCUUUCUAAGUCAGGGGUGAAAUCCUGGAGCUCAACUCCAGAACUGCCUUUGAUACUGGAGAGCUUGAGUCCGGGAGAGGUGAGUGGAACUCCGAGUGUAGAGGUGAAAUUCGUAGAUAUUGGGAAGAACACCGGUGGCGAAGGCGGCUCACUGGCUCGUAACUGACGCUCAUGCACGACAGCGUGGGGAUCAAACAGG
RNAcentral lists this ribosomal RNA (253 nucleotides) under uncultured bacterium. Its description in RNAcentral is "partial 16S ribosomal RNA". It matches the Rfam family "Bacterial small subunit ribosomal RNA", at positions 524 to 776 of the family's 1533-position model. The record is from RNAcentral.